This 365-nucleotide ribosomal RNA is filed under the name uncultured eukaryote. RNAcentral's name for it is "partial 18S ribosomal RNA". It matches the Rfam family "Eukaryotic small subunit ribosomal RNA", at positions 592 to 976 of the family's 1831-position model. The record is from RNAcentral.
CAAUAGCGUAUAUUUAAGUUGUUGCGGUUAAAAAGCUCGUAGUCGGAUUUUGGCUGAGAACGAUCGGUCCGCCGUUAGGUGUGCACUGAUUGGUCUCAGCUUCCUGGUGAGGAGGUGUGCUUCACGGCCACUUAGUCACCGUGGUUACUUUGAAAAAAUUAGAGUGUUCAAAGCGGGCUUACGCUUGAAUAUAUUAGCAUGGAAUAACACCAUAGGACUCCUGUCCUAUUUCGUUGGUCUCGGGACGGGAGUAAUGAUUAAGAGGAACAGUUGGGGGCAUUCGUAUUUCAUUGUCAGAGGUGAAAUUCUUGGAUUUAUGAAAGACGAACUUCUGCGAAAGCAUUUGCCAAGGAUGUUUUCAUUGA